CAGGUACUGCGUUUCCUAAAGGAGUGGGGAGAAGAGAUUAGAGGAAGGGGAAUGGAAGAGGGCCUCGAAGCUUAGUGUUAACGUAAAUAGGCAACUCCCGUCCGAAAAGCGGGUGUAGAAAGGAAAACCCUGCUCGAUUCAAAGGGUAGAUGCUGCAGACAGCUCAGGGGAUCGGGCUCUCGUCCUUACGGAUGCAGAGAUUGGACCACUGCACCUGGGGGCCAGGGAGACGGCCAUCCUGCUCACGUCAACCCCAUCCUAAGGACAGGUGGGGACGGAACGCCUGGGAGGCCCUGUGGGUGCCGUGCCGAGCCGCGGAGGGGUGGGGACUACGGAGCUUGCCUCCGAGCCCGGGGAGAGAAGGCAGGCAGAGCCCUUUCCCCAAGACCAGAGACCAGCUCCCCACGCCCUUCCUAUCCAAUAAUACUUUUCUUGCUAAGUCACCGCGGGAGGAGGGCGAUCCCCUGCCGACAGGGCCGCGGGGAAGAGUCGCGACGGUCCCGGCGGCCCCCGAACCCGGGCCUGAAGGACGCAAGUGAGGGCAGCGCCCUCCCCGGCCAGGGCCCCCCCUCCUCCGAGCCUCACUCAACGGCCGUCGCGGCCGCCAUUUUGAGAGCGAGGAGAGAAGAAGAAGGAGGCGGCGGCGGCAGGGGGAGGGGAGAAAGGGAGGGAGGGGACCGGCGCAGCCACAUCGUCAGGCCGCCGGGCCCAGCCCGCAGCCGCCCGAGCGCGGUGGAGGAGACAGAGGGGAGGGUGCAGACCCUUGGCGCCUUACCGGAGCGCUGCACCGCCGCGUCCGCAGGGCCUCUUCCGUCCUUCACUCCCAUCCACCGGCGGGGGGAAGGGGGAGGGAGAGGGAAGGGAGGAAGGAGGGAGGGAGGGAAGGAGGGAGGGGAGGAUGGCGCGCUGGGCCCGGUCCUCGGGAGGGGGAGGGGAGGGAAGCGGGCGGGCUCUUCAGCCGUUCCGGGGCUCGAGCCCAAGCCCAGCGCUCGCGGUUUCUGUUGCUCGCGCCCGAGCGCUUCCUUCCUGCCCUUUCUCGUUCUCUAGACCCUCGGGCCGCUGUUCAAUCGCUCCCUCACUCGCUAUCUCGGCCGUCGGACUCCGCCGCCGCCCCGCCGCUCCAGCUCCGUCUGUCACAGGAGCUGCCCCAGCGCCCUGACGUCACCGCGCCGCCGCCGCCCCAGACCCGCCAGGAAGAGGGAGGGGAGCGGAGGAGGGGCUGCGGCGCAUGCGCGGGCGCGGCUGGGCCCCUGAGUCGCCGUCUUCGUCCUGGCGAGCGGGCGAUCGCGGCCAGUGCUACUUGGCGGUACGGAGUGGCCGGUGGGCGAGCGUGCGCACGAGGCCCUGCUUUUCACGUCCCUCGUGCCGCUAUAACCUUGGAAGAGCCCCUUUUUUCCUCGACUCUGUUGUGUCCCCUCACGAACUCUGGUCCCACUCACCUAACCGCCCCGCUUUUGCCCCACUGCAUGCUGCGCUCUCUCCGCUUCCCCGGCGGACAGCGGGGACCAGUCGGCGCCCCUGCAUCCCGGCCCCGGAUUGUGGGUGAUCAUCUCCUGGAAGCAAGAAGUCAUGGAGGAGAACUCUUCUGCAGGAUAGGAGGAGAAAAAGGUUCUUGAGUGCUGGGAUUAACAGGCAUGUGCCACCGUGUCCAGCCUAUGAUGAACAUUUCUGAACAUAAUUUUUUGUUACAUUGUGCUGCUUACUUCCUUAAGAUAGAACCCCAAAAUUAGGGUUACUAGGCCAAAAGAUAAGGUCUUUUAAUUUGUUUAUUUGUUUGUACUGGGAAUUGAACCCAGGGCCUUCACACUGUGCUACAUCUCUGGUUUGUUUGUUUGUUUAUUUAUUUAUUUAUUUACAUAUAAAUUUUGAAACUAGAUCUCACUAAGUUGAUAGACAGCUCAAGAUGAGCUCAAAUUUGCAAUCCUCCUGCCUCAACCUCUCAGAGGGCUGGGUUUAUAGUCAUGCUCAACCAUACCCAGCCCUUUCUUCUUUUUAAAUCGACUACCUCGGGUUUUUGGGUUUGUUUUGUUUUGGUUUUUUAUUUUUUUGAGACAGGGUCUCACUAUGUAGCCCAGGCUGGCCUCCAACUCAUGACGAUCCUCCUGCCUCAGCCUCCCAGGUGCUAGGAUUACAGGCAUGUACCACCAUACCCAGCUUAUCUCAGGUAUUUUGUCACAGUGAUGGAAAGCUGACUAACACAACUGUGAUGAAAUGGCACACCUGGAUUUGAGCAACAAUGAUACAGUAGAAGGAGGAUUUAUACUAUCUGGAUUUGAACAUCAAUGUAAUCUGAAUUUUGUUAUAAGGUGAAUGUAUUCUUACACUCUCUGGGCCAGUUGAAGCCAGAGCUGCAGGCAGUUCUAGCCCAUGAGAACUGCCAAUAUCAUAAAAUGGGCCACACAGGGAAACACUGCAGAGGUGCAGUGGCACAUGCUGAAGCAGAGGGAUUACAAAUUUAAGACCAGCCUAGUCAACUGAGACUCUCAAAAUACAUAAAAAGGGCUGACAAUGUAGCUCAGUGGUAGAGUGCUUACCUAGCAUGCACAAGACCUUCAGUUCAAUCCCCCUACUGGGGGGAGAAAAGUUAAAAAAAAAAACCAAACAAAUAAUCUCAUGGAUUGUACACUCUAGAUCUAGUUAUUCUGAAACUAUUUCCAUACUUUGUUCUUUAUAAGAUUUAGAAAUAUGAGCUACUAAAACAAAAAAGAAAAAGAAAAAGUAUGAGCUACUAAAUUUAACCCCACUCCCCUCCACUAGUUUUUUAGGUUUGUUUGUUUAUUUGUUUGGGGUUUUUUGAGACUAUGUCUUGCCCUGUAGUCCUGGAUGGCCUUGAACUUUCGACAGUCCUCCUGCCUCAGCCUCCAGAGUGCUGGGAUUACAGGCUUGCAUUUGGCUAGUUUUUCUUAAAGUAGUUUGAAUUUGACUUGCAAUAGAAAGAAUCUUGGCCUAUAUUUAGGCAUGGAAGUAGGAAAAGAUAUCAGAUAUUAGAAUAAAUUUAUAUAAAAUAGUAUUUUAGCUGGUCAUAGUGGUGCACAUCUUUAGUCCCUCCUACUGGAGAGCCAGAGGCAAGAUCACUUGAGAUCAAGAGUUUGAGAUCAGCCUAGGCAACAUAGUAAAACCUUAUUUCAGGAAAACAAACAGUCCCACAAGGUGGCAUACACCUGUAAUACCAGCACUCAAGAGGCUAAUGCAAGAGGGUCACUGCAAGUUUGAGCCCAGCGUGUGCUACAUAGUGAGUUUAAGGCCAGCCUGGACUACAUAACAAGACCCUGUCUCUAAAAACCAAAGGGGAUGGGGGAAAGAAAAACAAACAAAACAAAAUAAAGAAAUAAAAUAGCAUUAAAAAUAUGAACCACUGGCCAUGGUGGCAUAUGCCUGUAAUCCUAGCACUUGGGAGGUUGAGGCAGGAUUGUCAUGAGUUCAAGGUCAGCCUGGGUUACAUAAUGAGUUCACAGCCAGCCUGAACUAUAGAGUGAGACUCUAUCUCAAAAAUAAAUGAAUAAACCAAUACCAUGUAGAAGUAUAGUUUGAAAUUACUAAAUAUACUGUCAAAAAGCAAGCUAUAGAAUGGAAAGAAAUUUUUAUAUGCAAGUGAUAUGUAGGAUAUAUAAAAAAGUACAACAGCAAAUAAUUUAAUAACUUGAUUUGAAAAUGACCAAAAGAUUUCAGCCUUCCAAAAAUGAUACACAAAUGGCCAAGAAGUAUAUGAGAUAGGAAACAGGGACAUAGCUCUUUUACAAAUGGGAAGGGGACCGAGAGAUGAAGGAAAGGGUGUGGGGGGAAGGGGACAUAAAAAGAAUGAAGAAUUAAAAUGUGUUACAUACAUGUACCAACUUCCCAUGAUGAAUGUAAUCAUUAUGUACUGCAAACGUACUAAUAAAAAUUAAAAAUUUUAUAAAGAAGCAUAUGAAUAGAUAGAUAUCACUAAUCAGAAGAGAAAUGCAAAUUAAAACCAGAUGCUACUUCACACCCAUUAUGAUGGCUACUGUGGAAGGAAAAAGGAAAGAGGAAGGAAGGGAGAGGGGCAGGGAAGAAGAAAAGAGAUCUGUCUUGUGUUCCCUAUCAUGAAUGUAUCACCUUGUAUUUAACCAUUCCCUA
Molecule: long non-coding RNA, 4098 nt
Filed under: Heterocephalus glaber (naked mole-rat)
Lineage: Eukaryota; Metazoa; Chordata; Mammalia; Rodentia; Bathyergidae
Description: lncRNA (ENSHGLG00000045087.1)
Source: RNAcentral